GAUGAAGAACGUAGCGAAAUGCGAUAAGUAAUGUGAAUUGCAGAAUUCAGUGAAUCAUCGAAUCUUUGAACGCACAUUGCGCCCGCCAGUAUUCUGGCGGGCAUGCCUGUUCGAGCGUCAUUACAACCCUCAGGCCCCCGGGCCUGGCGUUGGGGAUCGGCGGAAGCCCCCUGCGGGCACAACGCCGUCCCCCAAAUACAGUGGCGGUCCCGCCGCAGCUUCCAUUGCGUAGUAGCUAACACCUCGCAACUGGAGAGCGGCGCGGCCACGCCGUAAAACACCCAACUUUCUCAGGUUGACCUCAGAUCAGGUAGGAAUACCCGCUGAACUUAAGCAUAUCAAUAAGCGGAGGA
This 353-nucleotide unclassified non-coding RNA is filed under the name soil metagenome. RNAcentral's name for it is "partial contains 5.8S ribosomal RNA, internal transcribed spacer 2, and large subunit ribosomal RNA". The stretch from base 1 to 120 matches the Rfam family "5.8S ribosomal RNA", at positions 35 to 154 of the family's 154-position model. The record is from RNAcentral.